GCAGAUCCAAUUUUCUGCCACCGAAUACAUUAGCAUGGGAUAAUGGAAUAGGACCCUGUCCUCCUAUUUUCAGUUGGUUUUGGCAGCGCGAGGACUAGGGUAAUGAUUAAUAGGGAUAGUUGGGGGCAUUAAUAUUUAAUUGUCAGAGGUGAAAUUCUUGGAUUUAUGAAAGAUUAACUUCUGCGAAAGCAUCUGCCAAGGAUGUUUUCAUUAAUCAAGAACGAAAGUUAGGGGAUCGAAGACGAUCAGAUACCGUCGUAGUCUUAACCAUAAACGAUGCCGACCAGCGAUUAGGAGACGUUGAAUACAAAACACCACCAUCGGCGCGGUCGUCCUUGGCGUCUCGGUCCUUCACGGGGCCGGGGCGCGGGGGCGGCUUAGCCCGGUGGCACCGGUGAAUGACUCCUUAUAA
Molecule: ribosomal RNA, 412 nt
Filed under: Acanthamoeba genotype T4
Lineage: Eukaryota; Discosea; Longamoebia; Acanthamoebidae
Description: SSU rRNA
Rfam family: Eukaryotic small subunit ribosomal RNA (bases 1-351)
Source: RNAcentral